AUACGUAGGUGGCAAGCGUUGUCCGGAAUUAUUGGGCGUAAAGAGCAUGUAGGCGGGAAUCUAAGUCUGUUGUUAAAAUGCGGGGCUCAACCCCGUAUUGCGAUGGAAACUGGGUUUCUUGAGUGCAGGAGAGGAAAGGGGAAUUCCCAGUGUAGCGGUGAAAUGCGUAGAUAUUGGGAGGAACACCAGUGGCGAAGGCGCCUUUCUGGACUGUGUCUGACGCUGAGAUGCGAAAGCCAGGGUAGC
This 246-nucleotide ribosomal RNA is filed under the name uncultured bacterium. Its description in RNAcentral is "partial 16S ribosomal RNA". It matches the Rfam family "Bacterial small subunit ribosomal RNA", at positions 523 to 769 of the family's 1533-position model. The record is from RNAcentral.